Molecule: non-coding RNA, 73 nt
Organism: Parelaphostrongylus tenuis
Lineage: Eukaryota; Metazoa; Nematoda; Chromadorea; Rhabditida; Metastrongylidae
Source: the annotation of a GenBank genome assembly
ACCUCGGUGGUGUAGUGGUAGCAUGCGUCCCCGGUAUGGAUGAAGCGCGGGUGCGACUCCCGCCUGGGUCGUA